This 315-nucleotide long non-coding RNA is filed under the name Capsicum annuum. RNAcentral's name for it is "long non-coding RNA (CANN_LNC016789)". Lineage: Eukaryota; Viridiplantae; Streptophyta; Magnoliopsida; Solanales; Solanaceae. The record is from RNAcentral.
AGAAUUACCAGAAAGAGCUACAAUCACUUAUUGAUGAGUCAGGCCUCAAAUUGCACUUAGAUACAAAGGAGUAGCUUUUUCUUUUCUAGCUUUACUCGCUGAAGUCACUUUCACUUUCUUGAGAAGUGAUAUUUUUCAUCACAAUUCAUGAAAUUGCAUUCAGAAAGAGAAGAAAAUAGUAUAAUUUUCAUCACAAUCCAUGAAAUUGCAUUCAGAAAGACAAGAAAAUAGUAUACUUGAAUGCAUAGUUUGUACAUAGAAUAUUUCUAUUAUCCACCAUUGUAUGUGCGGUUUAAGUUACAAAUGUGUUGUAUU